AGAAGGAAGGCUUAACCCCCACC
Molecule: non-coding RNA, 23 nt
Filed under: Cricetulus griseus (Chinese hamster)
Lineage: Eukaryota; Metazoa; Chordata; Mammalia; Rodentia; Cricetidae
Source: RNAcentral